Molecule: small nuclear RNA, 107 nt
Organism: Schistocerca serialis cubense
Lineage: Eukaryota; Metazoa; Arthropoda; Insecta; Orthoptera; Acrididae
Source: RefSeq, a predicted model, not a curated record
GUACUCGCUUCCGUGGUACAUACACUAACAUUCGAACGAUACGGACAGGGUAAGCAUGGAAUCUCCACAAGGAUGAGACGCAAAAUCAUUAAGCGUAAAACUCGAAC